UGCUGGUCUGGCCUGUCACUCCAGCCAAGGCAGGCACAGCUCCCACAUAUUUGCUUCUGUGUCACCUGCAAUCUUGUCAUGGAAAGAAAGGUUUAAAGACGUUCUCAUCUGCUCCAUUCUCAUGCUUAAAGGGCAGGAAGGACCGUGGGACCUCCCCUCAGGGUCAGGGCCUGAUAGGACACAGUCACCAAAGGGCUCCCCAAGGGAGCUUCGUGAAAAAUGCCUGAUUGUCACAUGGUCACAGAACAACAUAACCUAUAAUGGUAUCAUUCCAUAUACUACUCAUUGCAUGUACUAAUUUCCUAUUUGGUCUUAUGGAAAAUAUUUGACAAUGCCUCUAGGGGAACAUUCGAGCAUGCAUUGGGGGUGGUGCUGGCGCACGCCUGCUGGAGUGAUCUGUGCGAAGCUGCAUGCUCACCCUUUCCCCCACCUACCCCACUUCCCUGAAUGCUGAGACUCAUUUAAAGUCACAACAAUUUUUUUUAAGUCUCCUUUGCUGAGUAGCAGAGUUUCACCUUCCAAGCAUGGAUGAUCGAUUCAGGAGUUCAAUUGUUCGUUCAUUAAAUAAGUCAAAUUUAUUGAGCACCUACUCUGCACCAGGUGCAAUGCUAGAUAGGCUGUGGGAUACAACAGUAAACGAGACUGGCACAGCCCAGUCCUCAUGCAAUUGUGAGUCCAUUGGUUUGAGUCCUAAUUCUGCCAUUUGCUCUAUAACCCUGGGCAAGCCAUUUUAUCUUUCUGAACUUUGAUACUUUUAUCUAUAAAAUGAAGAUUGGAAUUCUUGCCUCACUGAGUUUUCCUGGUACAUAGUUGGCGCUCAAUAAAUGGCAGCUAUUCUUUUUACAUUUUCCAGGCCUUGAGCUUUCUUUUUUCUUCUCGCUGUGGAAAUUGCCUGAUAAGCUACAAACUGUUGGUUCUUGAAUGGGCUGGCUGCCCCAGAUGUCCGAAUCCCUUGGAAGGAACCUGGAGGAGUUGGCUGAUGGGCUCCAGCUUCACAUAGAGGCAGAUGCCACACAAGCCACCCACCCAGAUGCAGAGCCAGAUUCCCUGCAUGGACUGGACGGGAGUUUCCCAGCUGGAGUUCUCUGGGCCCAGUUGCCUGUGACAUGGGGUUGGGGGUGCUCCAGAAAGUCAUGGCCACCCCUGGAGGAAGUGACUUGUGGCUGACUGCUCAAGGGGAAGUCCUGUGGCGGUGGAGUCGUCAGCAUUCAUUCAAAUAAGGUAAGUGCUUCAGCAGGGAUGAGGGAGGGGCUGAAAGGCUGGGGGUGACUGCGAUGACCUCAAGCUUGAACUGAAACCUCUGGAAGGGCAUUGUAUUCGAACUGUUUAGAUGAUUGCAUGGAAUCAUCUCAUUUUUACAUCAGCAGAAGCCUAGACUCAGAGAGGUGAAGUGAUUUGUCUGAGGUCACACAGCACGGUAGUGAUUGGGCUGGGUCUGAGGGCCUCUCUGGGGGUGCAUCUGAAGUCUCUGUGCCUCAGGGAAGCGGGAGGAGUGGAGACUGGGGCUGUGGCCAGGCUCUUCCUAGCCUUCCUAGGUGUCUAUCUCCUCUUCAGUGUCAUCUCCACUUUCCUUUCCCUCUGUUUCUUCCUCCUCUGCCUACAACACUCUUAGUUUGUUCUAAAUGCCCCCUUGUCAGAGCUGAGGAACUUGAGGUGACAUGCUGAAGACCCUGGGUGAGGAUCCUGGUUUGACGCAUUUUUCUUGGAACCCUUGGAUGUUCCUGGGGUGUAAGUGUGUGUAGGGUGUGAGUGUGUUGUAUGUGUACCCAUGUGUGCUUUGUGUGUGUGGUUUGGUUCUGUGGUAUGUGAAUGUGUGUGCAUGCACAUGUGUGGUGUGAGUGUAUGGAGUGUGUGCACAAUGAGUAUGUAUGGUGUGUGUGCAUGCAUGUGUAGUGUGCACGUAUGUGUGUGAAUGUGCGGUAUGUGUAUCUGUGCACAUGUGCAGGGUGUAGCUGGUGUGUGCUCACUUGUUUGUGAUGUGUGCAUAUGUGCACAUGUGUUCAUGCAUGUGUGUACUUGUGUGGUGUAUGCCUGUGUGUGCCCAUGCAUGCAUGUGUGUGUAUACGUGUGUGCAAGAGGAAACAGAUGGUGACUUUGCCACAGCAGUGUUUAGCUGACCCCAGUGCAGGAGCUGCCCUUACCGUCUGUGUCCCCCUUUUCGGCAGCCCCAGCGGGAGUUCUGCCUCAUGGCACACGCGUGUCCAGUCCUGCGGAGCCUGGACUCUGGGUUAAGAGAGGUAAGCGCUCAGAAAUAGUAAACCACUGUUUUCUUGCCGGCUGUUUGCCCUUAUUAAUUCAGGUAGCAAUUACCCAUUCUGAAUAUUUGGCAACUAAUUAGUUUUCCCGUGGAGAUGGCAGAAUGAGGAAUGCUCUGCUUUGACCUGAUCCACUUUCUCAGUUCCCGGGGAUGGGGGUGGGGGCUGGAGGAGGGAGGGCGUGGAGCACGGAAGUGAGAGCUACAGAGAAGUCUGCUCAAAGCCCGAGAUGCCCUUUAGCUGCCGGGGUCUUGGCUACAAAUCUUUAGGAGGAUAAAAAUAACCCACCCAAUGUUGGUUUUGUUGGGGCUUUCAUGUCACGGGCCCAUUUCCUCUGUGGGUGCAGCUCCUGGCAGUGUGCCGGGUAACGGAGGAGGUGCUGUCAGGGCAGACUCAGGGCUGCUUUCCAACCAAAGCGCCUCCUUUUUGGGAACCCUGAUUUGGACUCGGGAUCCAUAGGAGACUGGAACCUGGACCACAGGGACCCGACGCUCAGGGUGAGGGCACCCCUCAGACCCCAAGAGACUGGGGCCUGUGGAACACACAAUCCGGGGGACAGGUUGGAGGAGACACUCAGAUGACCGUCUGGCCAAGCUCAGCUGGGAGUUGAAUCAGAGAUCGUUUCUUACCAGCCACUAAGUCCCUUGGCCAACAUCUGGCCUAGAUUUGCCUUUUUAGCUCCUGAGCUUUCUGUUACUGGGAAGAGUUGUCAGUGACAUGAUCUGGUUCCCAGAGGCACCUCUGAGAAAGGGUUCUUACAGAUAGGAGGGUGCAUGGAUCAAGGCCAGCUCCAUCCAGCAGCCUCCUGCAUUGGAACAGCCCUCGGGCGGGAAUCUAUUUUGGGGAAGUGGUAGAAGGAUGAGUCAAUCCAUCGCACUGCUUGCUAUACCUUUUCUGGUGGCGGUGAGGGGGCUCAGACUACUGUGGGGAGUGGAUGCAGUUCAGGGUGCCACAGACCAGCCCGCUGGUGGGGGAAGCUGCCUCCAGACGCCUCCCCGCACGCUGUGUCCGCAGGGACGCAGCCUGUGAGUCACAGGCCUUCCUUCUGCCCCGCGUGGUCAUGCAUUUGUGUCUGUGAAAGGUGCUCUUUGCCUGAUGGGGGCUGGGAGGCCUCCAGGCCGAUGUCCCUACCCGUAGCCUUGUCUUAGCUGUGGGCAAGACCGGCUGCCCGCUUUCCUCCUUGGACACAGGUCCUCUUCAGAACCUGGGGUGGGCAUCAGCAUUCUCAGACUGGCACCGGCUGGCUGCAUGCCCCCUCCCGCUUCUGUGUCCCUGACACUCAGCACGCGCCUGUCCGUCUGCACACGGCUGGAGCCGGCUCCAGUCAGCCGCACACAGUUUGCCCAGCUCACCUGCUUAUUAUAAUUCAAGGCCAGGGACCCUGCGUCCUGUGUGUCUGGGGUUUCCCCAGGGUCUAGCGUUUGCUCUGGCUGCCGGCCCUGGCCGGUGGCUGAUGCCGGGUCACAUGUUCAGGCUGGUUUCCCUAAACUGCGGCAGCUGCAGUUCCUGUACAGAUAGGCUCAGCGAAAGUGCCAGGGCCUUGGGUUCAGACCUGGUUGAGUCCCGGUUCUGCCAGUUGUGUGUGACUUUGGGCAAAUUCUUUCAGCUCCAGGAGCCUCGCUUUCCUGGUGAUUGCUGUAUUUUUGGGGUAGACUACACGCAUAUUUGUCAUUAGAACCACAUGCUCCGGUCCCCAGCGAUGUGAAGGGGCUUCAGGGAAGAGAGUGUGCGGAGGUGACCUUUGCAGUUUGCAGCUGGACGAGUGGCCUUGGGCCUCCUUACUCCCUCACGUGUCUGUGGGGUGAGCAGGCGUCACUCCUUCCUCCCUGGAGCUGAAAUAGUUCUGCUUCGGCUGGGAAUGACCGGCUUAGAGCUGAGGUCGGGGUGACACCCAGGUGUUUUCCAGGUCACCCAAGGGACAGGGUUGAAACAAGCGCGAUCACAGAAUUCCCAGGCUGGGACGUGAAGUGGCUUUGAGGCGCAGACCAGCUGUCUUGCGACCUAGGCCUCCGCUUGCUUCCUCCAGGCCACACCUGACCUCGGCCUAGGAGUGAGCUCAAAGCUGCACACACAAU
Molecule: long non-coding RNA, 4330 nt
Organism: Macaca mulatta (Rhesus monkey)
Lineage: Eukaryota; Metazoa; Chordata; Mammalia; Primates; Cercopithecidae
Source: Ensembl